RNAcentral lists this ribosomal RNA (497 nucleotides) under uncultured bacterium. RNAcentral describes it as "partial 16S ribosomal RNA". It matches the Rfam family "Bacterial small subunit ribosomal RNA", at positions 28 to 507 of the family's 1533-position model. The record is from RNAcentral.
GAUGAACGCUGGCGGCGUGCCUAAUACAUGCAAGUCGAGCGAACGGACGAGAGGCUUGCUUCUCUGAUGUUAGCGGCGGACGGGUGAGUAACACGUGGAUAACCUACCUAUAAGACUGGGAUAACUUCGGGAAACCGGAGCUAAUACCGGAUAAUAUUUUGAACCGCAUGGUUCAAAAGUGAAAGACGGUCUUGCUGUCACUUAUAGAUGGAUCCGCGCUGCAUUAGCUAGUUGGUAAGGUAACGGCUUACCAAGGCAACGAUGCAUAGCCGACCUGAGAGGGUGAUCGGCCACACUGGAACUGAGACACGGUCCAGACUCCUACGGGAGGCAGCAGUAGGGAAUCUUCCGCAAUGGGCGAAAGCAUGACGGAGCAACGCCGCGUGAGUGAUGAAGGUCUUCGGAUCGUAAAACUCUGUUAUUAGGGAAGAACAUAUGUGUAAGUAACUGUGCACAUCGUGACGGUACCUAAUCAGAAAGCCACGGCUAACUACGUG